UCGUCUCGCGGAGUUGGCCACCCUUCGCCGCGUACUGUUAAUCCGUGGGUCGCUGGUUCGAACCCAGCUCGGGGAGCCA
Molecule: transfer RNA, 79 nt
Filed under: Deltaproteobacteria bacterium
Lineage: Bacteria; Pseudomonadati; Myxococcota; Myxococcia
Description: tRNA-Asn
Source: RNAcentral